GGGCGGGGGCGGCGCGGGGCGGGGCCGGGGGCGGGGCCGGGGCCGAGGUUCCGCCGAGCGCGCGGCGGUGCUGCGAGCCCCCGCGCUCCACUCCCGCCCGGACCCGCCGGGGCGCGGCGGCGCCAGGUCUGUCUUCCCGGAGUCUAGCUCAAGUCUCUCCUGCUGCAGCUUCUGUGCUGGCUGAG
Molecule: long non-coding RNA, 185 nt
Filed under: Dasypus novemcinctus (nine-banded armadillo)
Lineage: Eukaryota; Metazoa; Chordata; Mammalia; Cingulata; Dasypodidae
Description: lncRNA (ENSDNOG00000050118.1)
Source: RNAcentral